This 518-nucleotide ribosomal RNA is filed under the name uncultured bacterium. Its description in RNAcentral is "bacterial SSU rRNA". It matches the Rfam family "Bacterial small subunit ribosomal RNA", at positions 26 to 518 of the family's 1533-position model. The record is from RNAcentral.
AGGACGAACGCUGGCGGCGUGCCUAAUACAUGCAAGUCGAACGGUCUUUCUAUGGAAGCUUGCUUCCACUGAGAAGAUAGUGGCGAACGGGUGAGUAACACGUGGGUAACCUGCCCAUAAGAGGGGGAUAACAUCCGGAAACGGGUGCUAAUACCGCAUAGUUUCUUGAUCGCAUGAUUGAGAAAGGAAAGACGGCCUUUGUGCUGUCGCUUAUGGAUGGACCCGCGGCGUAUUAGUUAGUUGGUGAGGUAACGGCUCACCAAGACGAUGAUACGUAGCCGACCUGAGAGGGUGAUCGGCCACAUUGGGACUGAGACACGGCCCAAACUCCUACGGGAGGCAGCAGUAGGGAAUCUUCCGCAAUGGACGAAAGUCUGACGGAGCAACGCCGCGUGAGUGAAAGAAGGUUUUCGGAUCGUAAAACUCUGUUGUCAGAGAAGAACAAGUUGGAGAGUAACUGCUCCAGCCUUGACGGUAUCUGACCAGAAAGCCACGGCUAACUACGUGCCAGCCGCCGC